Molecule: transfer RNA, 90 nt
Filed under: Burkholderia ubonensis
Lineage: Bacteria; Pseudomonadati; Pseudomonadota; Betaproteobacteria; Burkholderiales; Burkholderiaceae
Description: tRNA-Asn
Rfam family: tRNA
About the family: Transfer RNA (tRNA) molecules are approximately 80 nucleotides in length. Their secondary structure includes four short double-helical elements and three loops (D, anti-codon, and T loops).
Source: RNAcentral
UCCGCUGUGACCGGAGAUGGUAACGGCCCUGACUGUUAAUCAGAGAGACCCGUGAGGGUUACGCUGGUUCGAGCCCAGCCAGCGGAGCAA